UAGAUUGAAGCUCGCUGGAUUGAGCAUUUAGCUGUUAACUAAAAGGUUGUGGGAUAAAGGCCCAUCAGUCUAA
Molecule: transfer RNA, 73 nt
Filed under: Hypogeophis rostratus
Lineage: Eukaryota; Metazoa; Chordata; Amphibia; Gymnophiona; Indotyphlidae
Description: tRNA-Asn
Rfam family: tRNA
About the family: Transfer RNA (tRNA) molecules are approximately 80 nucleotides in length. Their secondary structure includes four short double-helical elements and three loops (D, anti-codon, and T loops).
Source: RNAcentral